RNAcentral lists this ribosomal RNA (446 nucleotides) under Galbibacter marinus. RNAcentral's name for it is "bacterial SSU rRNA". It matches the Rfam family "Bacterial small subunit ribosomal RNA", at positions 469 to 917 of the family's 1533-position model. Lineage: Bacteria; Pseudomonadati; Bacteroidota; Flavobacteriia; Flavobacteriales; Flavobacteriaceae. The record is from RNAcentral.
AUGACGGUACCAUACGAAUAAGCAUCGGCUAACUCCGUGCCAGCAGCCGCGGUAAUACGGAGGAUGCGAGCGUUAUCCGGAAUCAUUGGGUUUAAAGGGUCCGUAGGCGGACCAAUAAGUCACGGGUGAAAGUCUGCGGCUCAACUGUAGAAUUGCCUUUGAUACUGUGGGUCUUGAAUGUGUAGGAAGUGGCUGGAAUGAGUAGUGUAGCGGAGAAAUGCAUAGAUAUUACUCAGAACACCGAUUGCGAAGGCAGGUCACUACUACACCAUUGACGCUGAUGGACGAAAGCGUGGGGAGCGAACAGGAUUAGAUACCCUGGUAGUCCACGCCGUAAACGAUGGAUACUAGCUGUUGGGUUUUCGGACUCAGUGGCUUAGCGAAAGUGAUAAGUAUCCCACCUGGGGAGUACGUUCGCAAGAAUGAAACUCAAAGGAAUUGACGGA